This 241-nucleotide ribosomal RNA is filed under the name uncultured bacterium. Its description in RNAcentral is "partial 16S ribosomal RNA". It matches the Rfam family "Bacterial small subunit ribosomal RNA", at positions 524 to 757 of the family's 1533-position model. The record is from RNAcentral.
UACGGAAGGGGGCUAGCGUUGCUCGGGAAUCACUGGGGCGUAAAGGGCGCGUAGGCGGCGUUUUUAAGCGGGGGAUCGAAAGCCUGGUGGCUCAACCACAGAAUGGCCUCGAUACUGGGACGUUGGAGGUAUGGGUAGAGGUUGGUCGGAACUGCGAGUGUAGAGGUGAAAUUCGUAGAUAUUCGCAAGAACACCGGUGGCGAAGGCGGCCAACUGGACCAUUCUGACGGCUAGGCGCGAA